GAGGUAGUGACAAUAAAUCACAAUGCGGGACUAUACGUCUUGCAAUUGGAUUGAGAACAAUGUACAACUCUUAUCGAUAAGCCAUUGGAGGGCAAGUCUGGUGCCAGCAGCCGCGGUAAUUCCAGCUCCAAUAGCGUAUAUUAACGUUGUUGCAGUUAAAAAGCUCGUAGUUGAAGUGUGGGUGAUCGCUGUUGUGAGACUUCGGUCUCUCGACAGUAAGUCACCCCCUUCCAGUAUCCAGUAGUGGGUAUUCAGUUACUUACUAUUGUGUGUUGGUCCUUUACUGUGAGAAAAUUAGAGUGUUCAAAGCAGGCGUUUGCUUGAAUAGAUUAGCAUGGAAUAAUAAUUGAAGGCUUUCGUGUUCGAUUUGAUUGGUUUGUUCAUGGAAGCAAGGUUAAAAGGAACAGUUGGGGGUAUUCAUAUUCACUAGUUAGAGGUGAAAUUCUCGGAUUUAUGGAAGAUGAACAAUGCCGAAAGCAA
RNAcentral lists this ribosomal RNA (480 nucleotides) under Blastocystis sp. RNAcentral describes it as "SSU rRNA". It matches the Rfam family "Eukaryotic small subunit ribosomal RNA", at positions 461 to 954 of the family's 1831-position model. Lineage: Eukaryota; Bigyra; Opalinata; Blastocystidae. The record is from RNAcentral.